RNAcentral lists this ribosomal RNA (1247 nucleotides) under Tomato leaf curl and yellowing phytoplasma. RNAcentral's name for it is "bacterial SSU rRNA". It matches the Rfam family "Bacterial small subunit ribosomal RNA", at positions 153 to 1399 of the family's 1533-position model. The record is from RNAcentral. Lineage: Bacteria; Bacillati; Mycoplasmatota; Mollicutes; Acholeplasmatales; Acholeplasmataceae.
GAAACAGUGGCUAAGACUGGAUAGGAAGAUAAAAGGCAUCUUUUAUCUUUUAAAAGACCUAGUAAUAGGUAUGCUUUAGGAGGGGCUUGCGCCAUAUUAGUUAGUUGGUAGGGUAAUGGCCUACCAAGACGAUAAUGUGUAGCUGGACUGAGAGGUUGAACAGCCACAUUGGGACUGAGACACGGCCCAAACUCCUACGGGAGGCAGCAGUAGGGAAUUUUCGGCAAUGGAGGAAACUCUGACCGAGCAACGCCGCGUGAAUGACGAAGUACUUCGGUAUGUAAAGUUCUUUUAUCAAGGAAGAAAAGCAAAUGGCGAACCAUUUGUUUGCCGGUACUUGAUGAAUAAGCCCCGGCUAAUUAUGUGCCAGCAGCCGCGGUAAGACAUAAGGGGCAAGUGUUAUCCGGAAUUAUUGGGCGUAAAGGGUGCGUAGGCGGUCUAGUAAGUCAGUGGUGUAAUGGCAACGCUUAACGUUGUCCGGCUAUUGAAACUGCUAAACUUGAGUUAGAUAGAGGCGAGUGGAAUUCCAUGUGUAGCGGUAAAAUGCGUAAAUAUAUGGAGGAACACCAGAGGCGUAGGCGGCUCGCUGGGUCUUAACUGACGCUGAGGCACGAAAGCGUGGGGAGCAAACAGGAUUAGAUACCCUGGUAGUCCACGCCGUAAACGAUGAGUACUAAGUGUCGGGUUAAACCGGUACUGAAGUUAACACAUUAAGUACUCCGCCUGAGUAGUACGUACGCAAGUAUGAAACUUAAAGGAAUUGACGGGACUCCGCACAAGCGGUGGAUCAUGUUGUUUAAUUCGAAGAUACCCGAAAAACCUUACCAGGUCUUGACAUGUUUUUGCAAAAUGAUAGUAAUAUCGUGGAGGUUACCAGAAACACAGGUGGUGCAUGGUUGUCGUCAGCUCGUGUCGUGAGAUGUUAGGUUAAGUCCUAAAACGAGCGAAACCCUUAUCGUUAGUUGCCAGCACGUUAUGGUGGGGACUUUAACGAGACUGCCAAUGAUAAAUUGGAGGAAGGUGAGGAUCACGUCAAAUCAGCAUGCCCCUUAUGACCUGGGCUACAAACGUGAUACAAUGGCUGUUACAAAGGGUAGCUGAAACGCAAGUUCUUGGCCAAUCCCCAAAAACAGUCCCAGUCCGGAUUGAAGUCUGCAACUCGACUUCAUGAAGUUGGAAUCGCUAGUAAUCGCGAAUCAGCAUGUCGCGGUGAAUACGUUCUCGGGGUUUGUACACACCGCCCGUCA